This 253-nucleotide ribosomal RNA is filed under the name uncultured bacterium. Its description in RNAcentral is "partial 16S ribosomal RNA". It matches the Rfam family "Bacterial small subunit ribosomal RNA", at positions 524 to 776 of the family's 1533-position model. The record is from RNAcentral.
UACGAAGGGGGCUAGCGUUGUUCGGAAUUACUGGGCGUAAAGCGCACGUAGGCGGACUAUUAAGUCAGGGGUGAAAUCCCUGGGCUCAACCCAGGAACUGCGUCCGAUACUGGUUGGCUUGAAUCCGGGAGAGGGAUGUGGAAUUCCAGGUGUAGCGGUGAAAUGCGUAGAUAUCUGGAGGAACACCGGUGGCGAAGGCGGCAUCCUGGACCGGUAUUGACGCUGAGGCGCGAAAGCCAGGGGAGCAAACGGG